RNAcentral lists this ribosomal RNA (433 nucleotides) under uncultured bacterium. RNAcentral describes it as "partial 16S ribosomal RNA". It matches the Rfam family "Bacterial small subunit ribosomal RNA", at positions 29 to 507 of the family's 1533-position model. The record is from RNAcentral.
AACGAACGCUGGCGGCAGGCCUAACACAUGCAAGUCGAGCGGACCUUUCGGGGUCAGCGGCGGACGGGUGAGUAACGCGUGGGAAUAUGCCCUUCUCUACGGAAUAGUCCUGGGAAACUGGGGGUAAUACCGUAUACGCCCUUUGGGGGAAAGAUUUAUCGGGGAAGGAUUAGCCCGCGUUGGAUUAGGUAGUUGGUGGGGUAAUGGCCUACCAAGCCGACGAUCCAUAGCUGGUUUGAGAGGAUGAUCAGCCACACUGGGACUGAGACACGGCCCAGACUCCUACGGGAGGCAGCAGUGGGGAAUCUUAGACAAUGGGGCCAACCCUGAUCUAGCCAUGCCGCGUGAGUGAUGAAGGCCUUAGGGUUGUAAAGCUCUUUCAGCUGGGAAGAUAAUGACGGUACCAGCAGAAGAAGCCCCGGCUAACUCCGUG